GGAGAGAUGGCUGAGUGGUUUAAAGCGAUAGACUGUAAAUCUGUUAAUAAAUAAAUUGCGUAGGUUCAAAUCCUACUCUCUUCA
This 84-nucleotide transfer RNA is filed under the name Neogoniolithon spectabile. RNAcentral describes it as "tRNA-Tyr". It matches the Rfam family "tRNA". From Rfam's summary of the family: Transfer RNA (tRNA) molecules are approximately 80 nucleotides in length. The record is from RNAcentral. Lineage: Eukaryota; Rhodophyta; Florideophyceae; Corallinales; Spongitidaceae.